Long non-coding RNA from Amaranthus tricolor (Joseph's coat), 647 nucleotides. RefSeq lists it as uncharacterized. Lineage: Eukaryota; Viridiplantae; Streptophyta; Magnoliopsida; Caryophyllales; Amaranthaceae. The transcript has 4 exons. The record is from RefSeq and is a predicted model, not a curated record.
CUUCCAUCUUCGACUGACUUCAAUUCGUUCAGGUUGAAAUGACGCAUCAUCCUUUGUUUAUGGGCUAUUGAUCUUAGGAGAGCAGUUCCUCGUGUUUCUUAUAGCAAGUCCAAAGUGAUCUUCUUUUCAUCUUCAUUAUCCGUAUAUGAAUAAUAAAUUAUCCAAGUGGAAGGUAUACCAAGUUCUACAGGAAGGACUGCCUCAGAACCAUAGACUAGAGAGAAAGGAUUCAUUCCUCGUUUACCUCUAUUAAAAUUGUGGCUGGGCUUAUCGCAUAUGCUGAUGUUAGAUAAACGCUGGGGUAGCGGACUAAAGAGCCUUAUUGAUCGUGGUUGUCUUAUCGCAUAUGCUGAUGUUAGAGGUUGAGGUGGUUGGGCUUAUAUGGAAUCUGGAGUGUGUGGAAGGUAGAAGGUGUUACAAAUGAAAAGAGACCUUGGGAGCACUAAUUUUUCCUACUUGUUUGCUCUACAACCAGAUGCCUUCACAAAAAAUAGCCGUUAUAUUCAACUUUUUGUAUAAAAAAUAGUACUUGUGGAUCGUACGUCAUACGUAAUUGAUGAUAUUAUUGUAUAAAGAAUAAUUUCUAAUGUAAUAUUCGAUCAUAUGUUACGAAUAUAUAUUGUAUUAUUGUUUUUCAAGAUUGUAUA